Long non-coding RNA from Panonychus citri (citrus red mite), 1841 nucleotides. RefSeq lists it as uncharacterized. The transcript has 4 exons. The record is from RefSeq and is a predicted model, not a curated record. Lineage: Eukaryota; Metazoa; Arthropoda; Arachnida; Trombidiformes; Tetranychidae.
CUCAACUCAAAAUUGUUACAUAAUUUUAACCAAUUUCGUUCUUGUUUACAAUUAACUAUUAUUCUAAUUGUUGAAAUUUUUUGUUCAAUUAUGUGAUUUCGAUGCAGUUGAUUGAUGGCUCCAAAUGAUAUUCACUUCCCAGUAAUUCUAGUCCCUGAAUACUACUCAAGUCUCAUUGGUUAUCAUCUCAUUUCAAUCACUCGGAAGGUUAAUUAAAUUGAUCGUUUAAAUUGUAAACCUAAAAUUGAUUUAAAAAGAGAGAAUCCAUAAAUUGACACAGUCUAAUGGAGAGACAGAUUAAUGUCACAUUUAAAUAUAGGAACUGAGGCCUUUCACCAUGUUGGUGUUUUUGUUUUCUAUUACAAUUUUCGGAGAUCAUCAUCAGAAUUAUCUUGUUGAUUUAAGAAAAAAGCAUGAUAAAAUAUACAGAAUGGAGGAGAAUCACGUUUGAAUAACCAUGUUAACUUUCUGGAUAAGCAAUGGAGAUGAAUUAAAAGGAAAAGCCAAAGAAAACGAUUCUCCUUACAAAGAUAAACGUAAUCCGUAAACAUCAACAUACUCAUCACCAUCAUCAACAAUUUCUCCACCUCCACCACCACCACCAACAACAACAACAACAACAUUAGCCUACAGCAUUAAAAUGGAAGAAGAAAAAAAGAGAAGGAUAAAAAAGAUGCAAUUUCAUCAGUUCUCGCUUGUUGAUACAACAGGAAGGACUCUAACCGUUGAAGAAGAGAGAGGAAAAGAAGAAGAAAAGUAAAAAUAAUAUAUAUAUUGUAUAUAUAACAUGUUCAUUUCUUUUUCUGAAAAAAGUAGGGAAAAAAACUAUGGAACUAAUUUUCUUAUGGUUAGAGAUGGAAAAUCCAAUGGAAAAUGAUGACGAUGGUGUUAAUGGUAGCAAAGAAAAAGAAGUGAAAAAGAAAACCAACAAAAAGGAUUAGGAUUAUCGAAAAGUGUAAAAGAAAAGAGGAAAAAAAACAAAGCAUAAAGGGUUAUGGAACAAGCUUACCAAGUGAUCUGAGUUAUGACCAGUGAUUAUCAUCUAAUCAUCAAUGGAGGAAAAACAGAAAAAUAUUGUAUAUUAUUCAAUAAGAAACCCGGAUGACCCUGUUCAUGGUCUCAUCUGUUUUCUAGUCUGUGAUAUGAUUAAAGUAGUCAAUCAGUUGAUUUGAACGAAUCAAAUAUCAAAUUUAAUAGCAACUGAUAAUUAUUGGAAAAGAGGCAAACGCAAUUAGUGAACAAUUAACGAUCCCGGUGAAGAUGAUUAAAAAAUAGGAUACCCAGAUUACCACCCAGUUAAUUAACUUUUGAAUAUUUUCAUUGAUUAUCAAUAAUUUUCCUUGCCUGAUGCUGUUGCAAUUAGUUAAUUAAUUUACCAAUUUUGUAAUCAUAUAAACAGAAUCUUUUUUAACCCUAACUUGAAAUCAAAUCAACUCUACAUUGAUUGUAAAUUGAACAUAAUCUAAAGUGAAACAAUUUAGUUAAUUGCAACAAUCUUAACCUUUGAACACCAAUGAUAACAAACCAAAAAGAGAGCCCAGGAUUUAAUUGUUACAAUGUAAUAGUUAAUUUUCAAGGUUAAUUGUACCCUUACAAUAAAGUAAUUGAUUGUUAAAUUAAAACAAACUCAAUUCCUAGUAGUUUUCGGUUUAAUUGUUAAUCAUCAAUUAAUGUGUAAAUUAAAAGCAAUUUGUAAACUUGAUUAACUAUGGAUUUGAGGUAAAAGAUUAAUCAACCGAGUAAUUUGAAUAAUCAACAACUAUAAAAGCAACAACAAUAACAACAAUUAAUCACUUGAUUGUUAUGAUUAUCAUUAUAAUAUCACCUAAGAAAAUUAAUUU